GACGAACGCUGGCGGCGUGCUUAACACAUGCAAGUCGAACGGAAAGGCCCUGCUUUUGUGGGGUGCUCGAGUGGCGAACGGGUGAGUAACACGUGAGUAACCUGCCCUUGACUUUGGGAUAACUUCAGGAAACUGGGGCUAAUACCGGAUAGGAGCUCCUGCUGCAUGGUGGGGGUUGGAAAGUUUCGGCGGUUGGGGAUGGACUCGCGGCUUAUCCGCUUGUUGGUGGGGUAGUGGCUUACCAAGGCUUUGACGGGUAGCCGGCCUGAGAGGGUGGCCGGCCACAUUGGGACUGAGAUACGGCCCAGACUCCUACGGGAGGCAGCAGUGGGGAAUAUUGCACAAUGGGCUGAAGCCUGAUGCAGCAACGCCGCGUGCGGUAUGACGGCCUUCGGGUUGUAAACCGCUUUCGCCUGUGACGAAGCGUGAGUGACGGUAAUGGGUAAAGAAGCACCGGCUAACUACGUG
This 468-nucleotide ribosomal RNA is filed under the name uncultured bacterium. Its description in RNAcentral is "partial 16S ribosomal RNA". It matches the Rfam family "Bacterial small subunit ribosomal RNA", at positions 28 to 507 of the family's 1533-position model. The record is from RNAcentral.